GAUGAAGAACGUAGCGAAAUGCGAUAAGUAAUGUGAAUUGCAGAAUUCAGUGAAUCAUCAAAUCUUUGAACGCACAUUGCGCCCGCCAGUAUUCUGGCGAGCAUGCCUGUUCGAGCGUCAUUUCAACCAUCAAGCCCCAGGCUUGUGUUGGAGCCCUGCGGCUGCCGCAGCCUCCCAAAACCAGUGGCGGGCUCGCUAUCACACCGAGUGCAGUAGUUUACUCUUCGCUCAGGGCGUGUGGCGGGUGCUAGCCGUGAAACCCCCAACUUCUCAAGGUUGACCUCGGAUCAGGUAGGAAUACCCGCUGAACUUAAGCAUAUCAAUAAGCGGAGGA
RNAcentral lists this unclassified non-coding RNA (334 nucleotides) under soil metagenome. RNAcentral's name for it is "partial contains 5.8S ribosomal RNA, internal transcribed spacer 2, and large subunit ribosomal RNA". The stretch from base 1 to 120 matches the Rfam family "5.8S ribosomal RNA", at positions 35 to 154 of the family's 154-position model. The record is from RNAcentral.